This 253-nucleotide ribosomal RNA is filed under the name uncultured bacterium. RNAcentral describes it as "partial 16S ribosomal RNA". It matches the Rfam family "Bacterial small subunit ribosomal RNA", at positions 524 to 776 of the family's 1533-position model. The record is from RNAcentral.
UACAGAGGUCCCAAGCGUUGUUCGGAUUCAUUGGGCGUAAAGGGUGCGUAGGCGGCGCGGUAAGUCGGGUGUGAAAUCUCGGGGCUUAACUCCGAAACUGCAUUCGAUACUGCCGUACUUGAGGACUGGAGAGGAGACUGGAAUUUACGGUGUAGCGGUGAAAUGCGUAGAUAUCGUAAGGAAGACCAGUGGCGAAGGCGGGUCUCUGGACAGUUCCUGACGCUGAGGCACGAAGGCCAGGGGAGCAAACGGG